RNAcentral lists this ribosomal RNA (200 nucleotides) under uncultured bacterium. Its description in RNAcentral is "partial 16S ribosomal RNA". It matches the Rfam family "Bacterial small subunit ribosomal RNA", at positions 30 to 228 of the family's 1533-position model. The record is from RNAcentral.
AUUGAACGCUGGCGGCGUGCCUAACACAUGCAAGUCGAGCGGUAACAGGUGUAGCAAUACAUGCUGACGAGCGGCGGACGGGUGAGUAACGCUUGGGAAUCUGCCUAUUAGUGGGGGACAACUCGGGGAAACUCGGGCUAAUACCGCAUACGCUUUACGAAGGAAAGCCGGGGACCGCAAGGCCUGGCGCUAAUAGAUGA